RNAcentral lists this ribosomal RNA (738 nucleotides) under uncultured bacterium. RNAcentral's name for it is "bacterial SSU rRNA". It matches the Rfam family "Bacterial small subunit ribosomal RNA", at positions 28 to 776 of the family's 1533-position model. The record is from RNAcentral.
AGUGAACGCUGGCGGCGUGCCUAACACAUGCAAGUCGAACGAGAACGGAUCUAGCUCGCUAGAUUGUCAGCUAAGUGGCGCACGGGUGAGUAAUGUAUAGUUAACCUGCCCUCUAGAAAGGAAUAACAGUUAGAAAUGACUGCUAAUGCCUUAUAUGCCUUUUUAACAUAAGUUAGUAAAGGGAAAUGCUUUUUGUGCUAGAGGAUGGGACUGUAUAGUAUCAGUUAGUUGGUGGGGUAAUGGCCUACCAAGACGAUGACGCUUAACUGGUUUGAGAGGAUGAUCAGUCACACUGGAACUGAGACACGGUCCAGACUCCUACGGGAGGCAGCAGUGGGGAAUAUUGCACAAUGGACGAAAGUCUGAUGCAGCAACGCCGCGUGGAGGAUGACACAUUUCGGUGCGUAAACUCCUUUUAUAUAGGAAGAUAAUGACGGUACUAUAUGAAUAAGCACCGGCUAACUCCGUGCCAGCAGCCGCGGUAAUACGGAGGGUGCAAGCGUUACUCGGAAUCACUGGGCGUAAAGAGCAUGUAGGCGGAUUGAUAAGUUUGAAGUGAAAUCCUAUAGCUUAACUAUAGAACUGCUUUGAAAACUGUUAAUCUAGAAUAUGGGAGAGGUAGAUGGAAUUUCUGGUGUAGGGGUAAAAUCCGUAGAGAUCAGAAGGAAUACCGAUUGCGAAGGCGAUCUACUGGAACAUUAUUGACGCUCAGAUGCGAAAGCGUGGGGAGCAAACAGG